Molecule: ribosomal RNA, 446 nt
Filed under: uncultured bacterium
Lineage: Bacteria
Description: partial 16S ribosomal RNA
Rfam family: Bacterial small subunit ribosomal RNA
Source: RNAcentral
AGCGAACGCUGGCGGCAGGCUUAACACAUGCAAGUCGAACGCCCCGCAAGGGGAGUGGCAGACGGGUGAGGAACACGUGGGAACGUACCCUUCGGUUCGGAAUAACUCAGGGAAACUUGUGCUAAUACCGGAUACGUCCGAAAGGAGAAAGAUUUAUCGCCGAAGGAUCGGCCCGCGUCUGAUAGCUUGUUGGUGAGGUAACGGCUCACCAAGGCGACGAUCAGUAGCUGGUCUGAGAGGAUGAUCAGCCACACUGGGACUGAGACACGGCCCAGACUCCUACGGGAGGCAGCAGUGGGGAAUAUUGGACAAUGGGGGCAACCCUGAUCCAGCCAUGCCGCGUGAGUGAUGAAGGCCUUAGGGUUGUAAAGCUCUUUGGUCCGGGAAGAUAAUGACGGUACCGGAAGAAUAAGCACCGGCUAACUACGUGCCAGCCGCCGCCGUAA